CCUACGGGAGGCAGCAGUAGGGAAUAUUGCUCAAUGGGGGAAACCCUGAAGCAGCAACGCCGCGUGGAGGAUGAAGGUUUUCGGAUUGUAAACUCCUGUUGUUAGAGAAGAUAAUGACGGUAUCUAACGAAUAAGCACCGGCUAACUCCGUGCCAGCAGCCGCGGUAAUACGGAGGGUGCAAGCGUUACUCGGAAUCAAUGGGCGUAAAGGGCGCGUAGGCGGGAUAGCAAGUCAGAUGUGAAAUCCUAUGGCUUAACCAUAGAACUGCAUUUGAAACUGUUAUUCUAGAGUAUGGGAGAGGUAGGUGGAAUUCUUGGUGUAGGGGUAAAAUCCGUAGAGAUCAAGAGGAAUACUCAUUGCGAAGGCGACCUGCUAGAACAUAACUGACGCUGAUGCGCGAAAGCGUGGGGAGCAAACAGGAUUAGAUACCCUAGUAGUC
RNAcentral lists this ribosomal RNA (440 nucleotides) under uncultured bacterium. Its description in RNAcentral is "partial 16S ribosomal RNA". It matches the Rfam family "Bacterial small subunit ribosomal RNA", at positions 338 to 795 of the family's 1533-position model. The record is from RNAcentral.